AUCGCUUCUCGGCCUUUUGGCUAAGAUCAAGUGUAGGAGUGAUGAUAGUGGGCAUUCUUGUCUUGUUCCUGAUUUUAGAGUCAAAGCUUUCAGUUUUUGAUCAUUUAGUACAAUGUUGACUGUUGGUUUGUCAUAGAUGCCUUUUAUCAGAUUGCAAUAAAGAUGAUCUAUUCCAAUU
RNAcentral lists this small nuclear RNA (178 nucleotides) under Fukomys damarensis (Damara mole-rat). Its description in RNAcentral is "U2 spliceosomal RNA". It matches the Rfam family "U2 spliceosomal RNA". From Rfam's summary of the family: U2 is a small nuclear RNA (snRNA) component of the spliceosome (involved in pre-mRNA splicing). Lineage: Eukaryota; Metazoa; Chordata; Mammalia; Rodentia; Bathyergidae. The record is from Rfam by way of RNAcentral.